AUGACAUUUUUAUAUGCCUUGACUUUCUGUCCAGAUGCCCAAAGCAAGUACUUCCUCUCUCAUCUCUCCUUGUACAAUAUAGCAGGUCUGAAUCCAAGGACAACUGUGGCAGUGUUACUAUUUCUUAGGGAGAAAAUAGAUGCUGUUGACCUGCUGCAUGUUCCAAAAGUCAGCUUCUUACCCAGAAAUCAUGCUUGGACUUUUGUGCUCUAGAUGUAAGAAGCUAUUUUACAGAUGAGAAAAUGAAGAUGAACAUGGUUAAGUGACAUGCUGUGAAGGAAAGAUUACAGCAUAAGAUGGUUUUUGCAAGAAGAAGCAAGAGAUGGAAUGUUGAAUGAACUGUCAAUUAACCAGAGAGAGGGAAGGUUUUAAAAAGAAUCUGGACAGGAGGCAGUUAAAAAGCCCAACAGCUGGAACUGGGACACUUCUUCCUGGCUAACGGUUGGGAAGAGGCUGCCAGACAAAUGUGCACUGAACUUCUGAUUACCCAUUGCCUAAAUUACUAAGAAGAUUGGGAGCUUAGCUCUGAAGAACCUUGUUAGUUGUUAUCCAUAUCUCCCAAGAGAAAAUUAACCCUGUUUCCUGAAUUCAACACCUUGGGAGAAUCCUUCAAAGUACAGGAAACCCUUAGAGAUUAGGGAAACCUUAUUCCCCUAUCACCUCCUCCAUUUCCCUUCCUUCCUUUACUUUAAGAAUAAAAUUCCUUUUAGUAAAGACCUAUAUUGUGAG
Molecule: long non-coding RNA, 729 nt
Filed under: Monodelphis domestica (gray short-tailed opossum)
Lineage: Eukaryota; Metazoa; Chordata; Mammalia; Didelphimorphia; Didelphidae
Description: lncRNA (ENSMODG00000043025.1)
Source: RNAcentral